CGACUGUUUAUCAAAAACACAGGGCUCUGCGAAAUCGAAAGAUGAAGUAUAGGGCCUGACACCUGCCCGGUGCCGGAAGGUCAAGGGGAGACGUAAGCUUCGGCGAAGCGUUGAACUGAAGCCCCGGUAAACGGCGGCCGUAACAAUAACGGUCCUAAGGUAGCGAAAUUCCUUGUCGGGUAAGUUCCGACCUGCACGAAUGGCGUAACGACUUCCCCACUGUCUCCAACAUAGACUCAGCGAAAUUGAAUUCCCCGUGAAGAUGCGGGGUACCC
This 275-nucleotide ribosomal RNA is filed under the name Prasinoderma singulare. RNAcentral describes it as "partial Bacterial large subunit ribosomal RNA". It matches the Rfam family "Bacterial large subunit ribosomal RNA", at positions 1797 to 2071 of the family's 2925-position model. The record is from RNAcentral. Lineage: Eukaryota; Viridiplantae; Prasinodermophyta; Prasinodermophyceae; Prasinodermales; Prasinodermaceae.